RNAcentral lists this long non-coding RNA (6172 nucleotides) under Sus scrofa (pig). RNAcentral describes it as "lncRNA (ENSSSCG00000054457.1)". Lineage: Eukaryota; Metazoa; Chordata; Mammalia; Artiodactyla; Suidae. The record is from RNAcentral.
UACCUUCUCCUGCCUUAGAUGUCUGUGUUCCUGGCUUUCAGGCUUUUGGACUCAGACCAGCACUUACACCUCCCCCGACUUCUACCCCAUCCUAAUUCUUAGGCCUUUGGACUUGGACUGAAUGACACAACAGUCUUCCUGGUCCUCCAGCAGGAGGCAGGUGAUGGAAGUCAACUCCUCUAAUAAGUCUCCUCAGAAUGUAUCUGUACAUCAUUGGUUCUAUUUCUCUGGAGAACCCUGACUAAUACAUCCUCUUUUUUUUUAUCUUUUUAUGGCUGCAUCUGAGGCAUAUGGAGAUUCCCAGGCUAGCCUCUUAAUACUUCCAACCACUUACUUGUGUACUAUGUACACAUGUCCACUGUAAUCAUGUUUCAAUUAGUCUGAAAGAGGUUGGGCAACUUACUCAAGGCUUCACAUUACCAGGCAAUAAAGCUAGGACCCAAACCUAGGGCAUCAUAUGCCAGAGCCUUUAUCAACCUGAUAUUAAUCUGAUACAGUGACUUAUAUAUUUAAACAUAAUACCAUAUAUUAGGGAAAUUCUUAUUUUAACUUAAAAAUCAUACUUUCAAAUUAUGUCUCACUGGCCCUAAAUAAUAAGUUUAAUGUUUCCUGAUAUGACACUCAAUGACUUGCAUUUUCCAGCUAUUGAUACAGUUCACCAGAGAUGGGCAACAUCUCUCCCCAACUCCAAUAUUCAGUCAUGUCAUGUAGCUUGAAAUCAGCCUUCAUGGGAGUAUAUGCUUCAGCAAUCAACAAAUUCUAGAAAUUAGGGAUUCUUAUAAUUUUUUUUUUCUUGGAGGGCUAGUUGUUAAACAUUUCCCAGCAUACCACUGGACUGAUACCUGCUUUUGUCCAAAUUUUAUAUGUAGUCUUCAUAAAAACUAUCCUGAAAUUCCAAGUGGGAAAGUUAAUGAUUAACCUUGAGCAAAUAUUGGUGCCAGGUUAUAACCAGGUUUUGUUUUGUUUUGCUACAAGAUUACCUGUAAAUAAUUCACAAAGAUUCAAAGAAUUUAGGGAUAUGACACUGACUAGUUUGUUCACAAAGAGCUUAGAAAGCUUAUGUUUGAUAUAAGUCAUUCUACCACCUCCACCCUCACUAUAUUGGGUGCCAAGUGCCAAUGAGGUCUGAUACUUUUGGUAGCUUGGCCUUUAGCAGCUUCUUGUUGCAGCAUCUCCUAUCCAUCCAUCAUGUUAGUGGGAACAUUUACUAACAAGGUCCAAAUGAUGGGUCAAUCAUGUCACUUCAUUGAAGAGAUGAUAAAAGAGCUGCAUCAGAGUCUUGAGCUUCAGUAUCUCAGGAUACAGGAAGUAGAUAUUGUGGGAGAUAGGCAACUUUUAAGUAUUAUUGAUUUAGUUGAAUAAUGGAGUAGAAUAAUUCAAAAGAAAAUCUGUAUCUUGAAAGAGAAGAGAUGACCCAACAAAUAAACACUUGAGUGAAUAAGAAAUGUCAGUAGGGAAACUAGAAGUUGAAAAUACACCUUAACUGGCUCUUACAGGAGUAAGUUUAUGGUUUGCUGAACAGACGAGAUAUCUUUAACCAUUUGUAAAUCCAUCACUGUUUUAUCAGCUCAAUCACUUUUAAUUAACUAACUGCAGAAUCAGCCUGUGUUGUUUCAUACUCUUUUAGCCAUUUUUGAAAGAACAAAUAGAGCUGCAAAGUCAGCAACAGAAUUCUGGACAGGGUGAGCCUUCGGAACAAUCAGAACCGGUAACCACUGCCCAGUGGUCCUGCAACCUGAAAAUCUCACUAAAAACAUACAUGGCUCCAAGCAGCUCCCUUGACUGUCAAAGAUUUGACUGUCAAGAAGUCAGUGAAUUUGCAUUUAGGUUAAUUGCACAAGAAAACAUUUAACACACAUUCUACAAUUUGGCCCAUAAAAAUGGAAUUCCAUCAGAAUGCCAUCUGUUGUGCUGUGAAAAAACAGAUGAAGAUGCAGGUGGAAUUCCUCCAGUCAGUCUGAAAAUUGGUGCGAGAUACUCCAUGUAGACAUGGUUGAGCCAUUUAUCUGCCUGUCUCAGGGGACUCCAUCAUAUGUUCUAAUAAUUUCUCUUAUAUAACAUUAAUAUGUGCCAGGCAUUGUUCUAUGUGCUUUAUAAACAUUAACUAAAUCAAUUUUCAAACUACCCUUCUUACUGAUGAAGAAACUGAAGCUCAGAGAGGUAAAGUAACUUUUUCAAGGAACAGGAUCUGUUCAGCUUUGUCAGGGUCCCUUCUCUAAACACACCAUAAUACAUGCACAGAGACCACCAGUAUAAUGGUCCUAAGACUCCAGAAGCAAUGCCUCCCCCAAGUCCACUGUUGCUCCACUUGGGCACCUUCUGAAUCUGUGUCUUGGGAUCACCCACGGAGCACACGGAUACGCACAGCCAAAGGGUAAUGAUGUUGGGAAAGUAAAAAUUAUCUCACACUCCCAUCUUAGGUUAUUCUGUAACUUUGAGCUUUUACUUUUUUUUUUUUUUUUUUUUUUUUGUCUGUUAGGGCCGCACCUGCAGCAUUUGGAGGUUCCCAGGCUAGAGGUCGAAUGAUCGGAGCAGUAGCUGCGUCUUCAUGGAUGCUAGUUGGGUUUGUUAACCACUGAGCCACAAUGGGAACUCCUGAGCUUUUACAUAUUUUAAAAUUCUCCACACAACAGAGUUAAACCAUAAAUGUUAAACAAUCAAUUCUUAUUUACAUUCAGCUUUUCCAAUAACAGGCUAAUCCUAGAAUGUCAGGAGCAGAUUCAUAGCAUCCUAUAAUGUCAGAACUGGAGGGGACCUUAGACCUCAUCUAGUACAAUGUUCUCACCAACACACACACAAAAAAACUGAGGCCAGGAGAGAUGAAAUGACUUGCAUAAAGUCACAAAGGAUGUUUGUGUUAAUCUUCCAAAAAUCAGUAGAAGUGAAUUUCAGUGUUUCUAGAUGGAGGUUUUUCAACCUCAGUAACACUGACACUUUGGACCUGACCAUUGGUUGCUGUGGGUGCUGGCCUGUGAAUUACAGAAUGUUCUUUGGCAUAAGGAUUAUUUGAGAAACAGCAGACAUGGGAGAAACUACAAAAACACAGAUUCCCCUUUCAUAAGGGUAUAUUUACAGAGGAAAUCUCCAUUUGUAAAAUGUCUCCCUUCCUGCACAAAAAGAAGACUAAAUCACAAGAAACUCUUAUCCCUGGAAAAGGCACAGGCUUAAAUCUAACAAACUUUACUCUCAUUUAGUUUCCUAGCUAGUUUCCUGAUUACCUGCCCAUAACUGGCCUCCCCUGCACCCUUCUCUCUUUUGUCUUUUGCUGAAGAUAGAAUUUAAGCUACCUCUGAGAGAUACUCAGUUUUCUCUGGGUAUUUUCCAUAUAUACAUGAAGUACACAUACCAGUACACUGUUUUAGUCUUCUUAGUCUGUAUUUUGUUUCAGGAGCCCUAGAGAGAACUUAGAAGGAUAGAAGGAAAGUUACUUUUUCCUCCUCUAUAGAAGCAUCCCUGGCCUCUACUCACCAGAUGUCAGUAGCCUCCCCACAAAGUCAUGACAAUCAAAAAUGUCUCCAAACAUUGCCACACGCCUCUUGGAGAAUGUGAUGCGAAAUUGUCUCCAGUGAGAACCGAUGGAUUUUCAUUAUCUAGAAAGGAAAGUUCUGCCCCUUACUCCAAGAUAAUUAGUCAAAGGAUGGAGUCAAUUACAUAAGUCUUAUGAGGAUCACAGAAGUAUUUGCUAGUAGAAAUUGGUUGAAAUUAGCUUUUAGGCCACUCUAGUCCACAAAGUAAUGGACAGAAAUAGUUAAAUACUGUUGCCCUUGGGUUGUAUUUUGUCAGGGCAUAAAGCAUUGUUCUGGUGCUUCCCAAGGAAUUAAAUCUAUUCUCAUCUUGGAUUCCUGCAAGAAAGUAAACCUCCUUGCCUGAUGGAAUUUAAAACCUCAUUCCCAUGUAGCACUUCCAGGGCAUAGAGCAUGCUGCUUGUAGCAAAAAGGAUAUAACUGACACAAUGUCAGGGGAUGUUCUCAGAUUAGCUAGCUGGAUAUUGAGAGCAGCACAUCAUUUAGCCAUUAUUGACGUAGGAAACUAGCAUUUUACAGGGCGUUAUGAAAGAAACUAGAGAUUUCUUUAGGUAACUUUUUGUCAGAAUUCGAAGACUUGGUUUUGAGGCUGUCGUAAGCAGAGACUAAGAGCAGAGGUUUGAAGCUGAGCAUACCUCAUUGUGGAUACUGUGGGAGAUCAGAGAAAAGGAGCACACACCAGAUAAGAAGAGACUCUGCUCUCAGCUACGGUGCCUAAUGGCUGUCACCCACUGCUUAAUGAGGGGGAGCACCCACCUGCUAGCAGAGUAGCUUUCCAGUGCUUGUGUCAUGUCCCCUUUGCAGCAGCUUCAGGGGACAGUUCACUCUCCCAGUCGCAUUCUGCCCUGGCACCUUGUCCGUAGGAGGUGACAUCCUCUGCCCUCAUGCAAGUACAAGCCCCAGAGGGUGGGGGUCUUAGCAAGUUUACAUGUAACCCUCAAAUGGAACAUAGCCAAUAGAUAAAUGCUCCAGUCUCCUGUCUUCAGGUGGAAAAUUCUGGAAGACAUUCUGCAGACUUUUCAGUGGAAUCAAGUCUCUUACUGCUUGUAACAGUGACCUCUCUACAUGUUAUUUAUAUUGGAUUUUCCUUUUCCCUUGUCUUAUUCUCUUGCUCCUCAUUCCUGCUUCCUGGGAUCACUUCUCAAAUAAACCUCCUAGAUCAGAGUUCUGGCCUCAGGCUCUCCUUUCAGAGGAACCCCUAUUCCCCUAUACCUACUACAUAGGAUUCAUAUCAUUGUAAAUAUUUGAGUCCAGAUUAACUAUAUAGUCAAUGGUACCUGGUUCUCACCCCAGAGUCUGAGUUCAUUCAUUCUCAGUAGUCAUUUUGUUAUCCCCAUAUGGGCCUCAAUUAUAGAUACAAAUAUCCCUCUGAUAUUGUUAUGAGUCAGUAUUCAGGAUGGGUGCCUCCUACAUUAGAGUCAACAUUGUGGCUAACAAAAUUUAUUUCUGUCUGGUUGUGCUAUAUAUUAGAAAAUAAUCUCUUGAUAUUGAGUAAGAUUUAAAUCCAUAAACUAACUGAAUUCCUAAAUCCUUUAGCCAAGAGCAGCCAUGAUUUUUAGCUUUCCAUAUCAAAGCAUAUGAUUAGGAGUGGCCUCUUAGAUUAUUAACCUUAGCCAGUGUGGAAAAACUGGGAUCCAUCUUAAUGAGGAAAGUGACUUCCACGAUAUGCUUUGAGAGUUAUAAUACAUAGGAAAGUUAAUCUGUCUUUGAGGCUGCCUAACAAAUUUAAGUACUUUUCCUUAUUAUAUUUAUAUAACUUGAGUAUUAUGCAAAAAAAUAAGUAAAAAUCUAUAUGAAAAUCUUUUAUCUUCCCAAGCCCCCUUUUAAAUAAACAUUUUAUUUAUUUAUUUUUGUAUGUUUUUAUUAAAGUAUAGUUGAUUUAUAAUGUGUCAAUUUCUUCUGUACAGCCAAGCAAGAAAAUUCUUUUUUUUUUUGUCUUUUUGCUAUUUCUUGGGCUGCUCCCGCGGCAUAUGGAAGUUCCCAGGCUAGGGGUCGAACUGGAGCUGCAGCCUCCAGCCUACACCAGAGCCACAGCAACGCGGGAUCCAAGACACAUCUGCAACCUACACCACAGCUCACAGCAUCACCAGAUCAUUAACCCACUGAGCAAGGGCAGGGACCGAACCCGCAACCUCAUGGUUCCUAGUCGGAUUCGUUAACCACUGCACCAUGACGGGAACUCCGCAAGAAAAUUGUUAUGAUUAGUAAUAGGCCUGUAGUUUGUGCUUUCAUUCCUCUUAGAAAAGUCUCUCAGCUUUCAGGGUGAUGAUGGGGAGAAAAUGGAUAAGCUCAGUGCUUUGGGAACUCCUAUAGUAGAGUGUAUGACUAGAGAACUUAGAAUUGCCUUCCAUGGAGCCCUUAGAUUUAAAUCUCCAAGCAUUCAGGCCCAUGUUAUUGGCCUCUGUCCAUAUCCCACAGUAGCUGAAUGCAUUAUACUAAAUGCCUACACUUACCUGAGUCUAUGGACCAGGCACUGUUCUCAGAGAUUUUUGUCUGUUAACUCUUCUAGUGAGAUGUGCUUGAUAAAUAUUUUAGGGUAUUGGAUAAACACAUAAUAAUUAUUUACCUACAAUGUUUAGAUAAAAUCUAAAGCAAGUUCAAAAAAAUCAGUUAAUAAAUUUUUGAAAACUGUUCAACUCUAGAACUUU